CAACACAGAACAAAACCAUGACCAAAGGGAUGAAAGACAAAUCACAAAAUGCUAGGCUGCAACCAAUCAAAAACAGAGAUUUGCGGAGAAGUGAACACUCCCAGGAGUUAACAAAUCAUGGUCUACAGUAAUCAACGCAGGUUUGAACUAUUUUCUGCAACAAAGAAUCUCUUUCGGAAUUGGACGGCCUUCAUACAAAUCCUGAUUUUACCAUUUUUUUGUGUAUGGCCUUGGGCAAUUAUCUAACCCAACUGAAUCUUGGCUGUCUCUUUUGUGAAAUGUUCACCUCAGAAAGAUGUAAAAAUAAAAUUCUUUUAAGUUAUAUGUGAAGUGUUGAGCCCAUUGCCUGACACAUACUAUACUCUUAACAGUACUAGUUAGAUCCUGUUUCACG
Molecule: long non-coding RNA, 394 nt
Filed under: Homo sapiens (human)
Lineage: Eukaryota; Metazoa; Chordata; Mammalia; Primates; Hominidae
Description: HSALNT0108510
Source: RNAcentral